Molecule: ribosomal RNA, 775 nt
Filed under: Listeria monocytogenes
Lineage: Bacteria; Bacillati; Bacillota; Bacilli; Caryophanales; Listeriaceae
Description: partial 23S ribosomal RNA
Rfam family: Bacterial large subunit ribosomal RNA
Source: RNAcentral
GGAUGAAGGUAAGGUAAUACUUACUGGAGGUCCGAACCCACGCACGUUGAAAAGUGCGGGGAUGAGGUGUGGGUAGCGGAGAAAUUCCAAUCGAACUUGGAGAUAGCUGGUUCUCUCCGAAAUAGCUUUAGGGCUAGCCUCGAGGUAAAGAGUCAUGGAGGUAGAGCACUGUUUGGACUAGGGGCCCUUCUCGGGUUACCGAAUUCAGAUAAACUCCGAAUGCCAUGUACUUAUACUCGGGAGUCAGACUGCGAGUGAUAAGAUCCGUAGUCGAAAGGGAAACAGCCCAGACCACCAGUUAAGGUCCCCAAAUAUAUGUUAAGUGGAAAAGGAUGUGGGGUUGCUUAGACAACCAGGAUGUUGGCUUAGAAGCAGCCACCAUUGAAAGAGUGCGUAAUAGCUCACUGGUCGAGUGACCCCGCGCCGAAAAUGUACCGGGGCUAAACAUAUUACCGAAACUGUGGAUGAACCUCUUUAGAGGUUCGUGGUAGGAGAGCGUUCUAAGGGCGGUGAAGUCAGACCGGAAGGACUGGUGGAGCGCUUAGAAGUGAGAAUGCCGGUAUGAGUAGCGAAAGAAGGGUGAGAAUCCCUUCCACCGAAUAUCUAAGGUUUCCUGAGGAAGGCUCGUCCGCUCAGGGUUAGUCGGGACCUAAGCCGAGGCCGAUAGGCGUAGGCGAUGGACAACAGGUAGAGAUUCCUGUACCAGUGCUAAUUGUUUAACCGAUGGGGUGACACAGAAGGAUAGGGAAUCGCACGAAUGGAAAUGUGCGUCCAA